AAAAUCCAUUGUUUGUACUGACUUUUUCCUUUGAUGGUUCUUACUGAGUUGUUAGCUGGUGUGAUCUUGUGAACCACUUCUACCUGUUGAUGUUCUUUCCCUUCAAAUUUGUGAUUUUGUACCCAGUCUAGAGUUCUUGCUUCCAUUCUGGUCUGCAGAGCAGUGACCAUGAGAGGUGAUACCUGAGUGUGCUGUGCCCUUACGCCCCGAGAAGGUCUUAGCAUGUCUCUGUUCUGAGUGAGGUGAAGGGUAGAAAGACAUAUGCCUCUCCAUACUGCCUUCAAUAGAGGGCUGUUUCUGUUCUGGAAGAAAGAAGGAUUAUUUGGACAUAAAGAAAAAGAUGUGCGUCCUUGUGCACCAGAUGGAUCGGAGAAGCCAGCAGACUCUUUCUGGGCACCACGUGGCGUAUAAACUGUGAAGAAGCUGUACAGGAGCUCUUUAAUAGGAUGAGAACCCAGUUGUUGAUUCUUUGUGCUAGUUCCCAAAUGACUGAGGUUCUGUUCAUGAAGUCUUUUCUUGAUUUCUUGGUAGCAGCC
Molecule: long non-coding RNA, 536 nt
Filed under: Fukomys damarensis (Damara mole-rat)
Lineage: Eukaryota; Metazoa; Chordata; Mammalia; Rodentia; Bathyergidae
Description: lncRNA (ENSFDAG00000022980.1)
Source: RNAcentral